This 800-nucleotide ribosomal RNA is filed under the name uncultured ciliate. RNAcentral describes it as "bacterial SSU rRNA". It matches the Rfam family "Eukaryotic small subunit ribosomal RNA", at positions 48 to 989 of the family's 1831-position model. The record is from RNAcentral. Lineage: Eukaryota; Ciliophora.
GCCUGCAUGUCUAAGUAAAAACUAAAUAAUGGUGAAACUGCAAAUGGCUCAUUACAACGGUUAUGAUGUACCCGGGAUUUCCGAUGGAUAUUUCCAGUAACACUAGAGCUAAUACAUGUUUCUGCGUUUAUUAGUUUCAAACAAAAUUGUUGCUGAGUCAUGGUAAACGGUUGAUCGAUUCGACAUCCCGGAACGGUUUCCGCCCCAUCAGCUUCGAUGGUUGGGUAUUGGCCUACCAUUGCAACAACGGGUGACGAGGAAUUAGGGUUUGAUUUCGGAGAGGGAGCCUGAGAAACGGCUACCACAUCUACGGAUGGCAGCAGGCGCGCAAAUUACCCAAUGCAGACUCUGUGAGGUAGUGACGAGAAAUAAUAAAGUGAGGCUUUUGUCUUACUAUUAUAAUGAGGAAUAACUAAAUGUCAUUCCUAUUAGCAACUGAUGGGAAAGUCUGGUGCCAGCAGCCGCGGUAAUACCAGCUUCAGUAGCAUAUACUAAAAUUGUUGCAGUUAAAACGUCCGUAGUCUGUACGUCGUCUAUGACUUUACUACUGCGCUAUCUGUUCCUGAACGGUUAGUUGCUUGUAGUUACUCCCUUGAUCAAAAUAGACUGUUCAAGGUAGACUGAGUCUUCAUAUUUUCACAUGGAAUUGAGUGAAGGAACUUAAGAGGUUAGGUUUCUCGUCUUAGGAGCAUUUAGGGAUAUUAGUACUUGGCCGCGAGAGGUGAAAUUUUUGGACCGGUCAAAGACUAUCAGCAGCGAAAGCAUUUGUCAGAAAUGUUUUCUGCGACAAAGGACGAAGG